This 468-nucleotide ribosomal RNA is filed under the name uncultured bacterium. RNAcentral describes it as "partial 16S ribosomal RNA". It matches the Rfam family "Bacterial small subunit ribosomal RNA", at positions 28 to 507 of the family's 1533-position model. The record is from RNAcentral.
GACGAACGCUGGCGGCGUGCUUAACACAUGCAAGUCGAACGGAAAGGCCCUGCUUUUGUGGGGUGCUCGAGUGGCGAACGGGUGAGUAACACGUGAGUAUCCUGCCCCUGACUUUGGGAUAACUUCAGGAAACUGGGGCUAAUACCGGAUAGGAGCUCCUGCAGCAUGGUGGGGGUUGGAAAGUUUCGGCGGUUGGGGCUGGACUCGCGGCUUAUCAGCUUGUUGGUGGGGUAGUGGCUUACAAAGGCUUUGACGGGUAGCCGGCCUGAGAGGGUGACCGGCCACAUUGGGACUGCGAGACGGCCCAGACUCCUACGGGAGGCAGCAGUGGGGAAUAUGGCACAAUGGGCGGAAGCCUGAUGCAGCAACGCCGCGUGCGGGAUGACGGCCUUCGGGUUGUAAACCGCUUUCGCCUGUGACGAAGCGUGAUUGACGGUAAUGAGUAAAGAAGCACCGGCUAACUACGUG